AGGGAAUAUUGGACAAUGGGGGCAACCCUGAUCCAGCCAUGCCGCGUGAGUGAAGAAGGCCCUCGGGUUGUAAAGCUCUUUUGUCCGGAAAGAAAAGCAUUCGGUGAAUACCCGGAUGUUCUGACGGUACCGGAAGAAUAAGCACCGGCUAACUUCGUGCCAGCAGCCGAGGUAAUACGAAGGGUGCAAGCGUUACUCGGAAUUACUGGGCGUAAAGCGUGCGUAGGUGGUUGUUUAAGUCUGAUGUGAAAGCCCUGGGCUCAACCUGAGAAUGGGAUUGGAAACUGGUCAGCUAGAGUGCGGUAGAGGGUAGUGGAAGUCCCGAUGUAGCAGUGCAAUGCGUAGAGUUCGGGAGUAACAGCUGGGGCGUAGGCGACUGCCUGGACCAGCACUGACACUGAGGCACGAAAGCGUG
This 415-nucleotide ribosomal RNA is filed under the name uncultured bacterium. RNAcentral's name for it is "bacterial SSU rRNA". It matches the Rfam family "Bacterial small subunit ribosomal RNA", at positions 356 to 763 of the family's 1533-position model. The record is from RNAcentral.